RNA transcript from Lacerta agilis (Sand lizard), 1838 nucleotides. It is a transcript of the gene named CUGBP Elav-like family member 6, with no coding region annotated. The record is from RefSeq and is a predicted model, not a curated record. Lineage: Eukaryota; Metazoa; Chordata; Lepidosauria; Squamata; Lacertidae. The transcript is spliced from 14 exons.
CGGGGCGGGGCAGAGCCGGCUGGGAACAUCAUGGCUACUCUGGCCAACGGGCUAGCGCAGCAACAACCUCCCCCCGGGCCCCCGCCCCCGCCGCCGCCGCCUCCUCCUCCGCCUCCGCCGCCGCAGGCGGAGAGCGCUGCCUUCAGCACCACGAACAGCUCCGGGAGGAUGAACGGGCUGACGACGCCGACGCACGGCCCGGGGGGCACCAUCGCCAUGAAGGACCACGAUGCCAUCAAGCUGUUCAUCGGGCAGAUCCCGCGCAACCUGGAGGAGAGCGACCUCAAGCCGCUCUUCGAGGAGUUCGGCAAGAUCUACGAGCUCACCGUGCUCAAGGACCGCUUCACCGGCAUGCACAAAGGCUGUGCCUUCCUUACAUACUGUGCCCGGGAUUCAGCCCUCAAAGCCCAGAGUGCCCUGCAUGAGCAGAAGACAUUGCCUGGGAUGAACCGCCCAAUCCAAGUGAAGCCAGCAGACAGCGAGGGCCGAGGAGAAGACAGGAAGCUUUUUGUGGGCAUGCUGGGGAAGCAACAGAGUGAGGAUGACGUCCGGCGACUCUUUGAGCCCUUUGGCCAGAUCGAAGAAUGCACCAUCCUCAGAGGCCCCGAUGGAGCCAGUAAAGGAUGUGCCUUUGUCAAAUACGGGAGUCAUGCAGAGGCGCAAGCCGCUAUCAGUAGUCUCCACGGCAGUCAGACCAUGCCGGGAGCAUCGUCCAGCCUGGUGGUGAAGUUUGCUGACACAGACAAGGAGAGGACCCUUCGGCGGAUGCAUCAGAUGGCAGGACAGCUGGGGAUCUUCAAUCCAAUGACGAUCCAGUUUGGAGCCUACGGGGCAUAUACGCAAGCGAUAAUGCAGCAGCAGGCAGCUCUGAUGGCUGCAGCACAAGGAACUUGCCUCAACCCCAUGGCGGCCAUUGCGGCGGCACAGAUGCAACAGAUGGCAGCGUUUAACGUCAGCGGGUUGGUUGCUGCUCCCAUGACACCCUCAUCAGGUACAAGCACACCUCCGGGGAUCAGCACAGCACCUGUUCCCAGCAUAGCCACACCCAUCGGGGUGAAUGGAUUCAGCCCUCUCCCACCACAGACCAAUGGGCAGCCAGCAUCAGAAACUAUUUACACCAAUGGAAUCCAUCCAUACCCAGCUCAAAGUCCCACUGUGGCAGACCCCCUCCAACAAGCCUACGCAGGCAUGCAGCACUAUGCAGCAGCAUACCCAGCCGCCUAUGCACCAAUCAGCCAGGCCUUCCCCCAGCAAGCUCCCAUCAUCCCCCAGCAGCAGAGAGAAGGUCCCGAAGGCUGUAACCUCUUCAUUUAUCACCUGCCCCAGGAGUUUGGGGAUGCAGAACUUAUGCAGAUGUUCUUGCCUUUCGGCAACGUCAUCUCUGCCAAAGUCUUUGUUGACCGUGCCACCAACCAAAGUAAAUGCUUUGGUUUCGUCAGUUUUGACAAUCCAACUAGUGCUCAGGCAGCCAUUCAGGCCAUGAACGGCUUCCAGAUCGGCAUGAAGAGGCUAAAGGUCCAACUAAAGCGGCCAAAAGAUGCUAACAGACCCUACUGACCCGUGUUCACCUUGGCCCUGAAAGCAGACCAGGCCAAUCAUAGCUCCAAGGAUGACCCCACAGUUGCCUAGCAACCCUCUAGCUGUUAUGGGAGACCCAAACAAUAACUCUCCCUCCCAAAUUAUCUGAAACUAUGGGAUGCCAUGCGGCGUACGAAGAGUAUUCCCCUUGUCCCACGUGCAGUAUCCAGACUUGUAACUCUCUUUCUUUGCAACAUAUCACGGAGGAGGAGGAGGAGGAGGAGGCAGGAUGCUCGUGAAAAAGAGGAGAGCCAGUUUGG